CGGGGGCAUGGUCGUCCUCCGGACACCAAAGGCGCAAAAAACAUAACUUGAAACGUAUGCGGGAUUACGGGCGCGGCUCUGCGCAGCGCCCCUCCAUCCCCGGGUGUUGUACCCGGCAUGCGGUGGCGGGCCCUCGGGCCUGCCGCCGUGCCACAACAUACCGCGAGUGUGCAGGAUGUGACCCGAAAGAUGGUGAACUAUGCCUGAUCAGGUUGAAGUCAGGGGAAACCCUGAUGGAGGACCGAAGCAGUUCUGACGUGCAAAUCGAUUGUCAGAAUUGGGCAUAGGGGCGAAAGACCAAUCGAACCAUCUAGUAGCUGGUUCCUUCCGAA
RNAcentral lists this ribosomal RNA (332 nucleotides) under Phagomyia prominens. RNAcentral's name for it is "eukaryotic LSU rRNA". It matches the Rfam family "Eukaryotic large subunit ribosomal RNA", at positions 692 to 965 of the family's 3401-position model. The record is from RNAcentral. Lineage: Eukaryota; Metazoa; Arthropoda; Insecta; Diptera; Culicidae.